Molecule: non-coding RNA, 81 nt
Organism: Aulographum hederae CBS 113979
Lineage: Eukaryota; Fungi; Ascomycota; Dothideomycetes; Aulographales; Aulographaceae
Source: the annotation of a GenBank genome assembly
GGCAAGUUGUCAGAGUGGUUAAUGAGUCAGACUUGAAAUCUGAUGGCCUCGGCCGCGCAGGUUCGAAUCCUGCACUUGUCG